RNAcentral lists this ribosomal RNA (446 nucleotides) under uncultured bacterium. RNAcentral describes it as "partial 16S ribosomal RNA". It matches the Rfam family "Bacterial small subunit ribosomal RNA", at positions 338 to 795 of the family's 1533-position model. The record is from RNAcentral.
CCUACGGGAGGCAGCAGUCGAGACUCAUUCACAAUGGGGGAAACCCUGAUGGUGCGACGCCGCGUGGGGGAAUGAAGGUCUUCGGAUUGUAAACCCCUGUCAUGUGGGAGCAAAUUAAAAAGAUAGUACCACAAGAGGAAGAGACGGCUAACUCUGUGCCAGCAGCCGCGGUAAUACAGAGGUCUCAAGCGUUGUUCGGAAUCACUGGGCGUAAAGCGUGCGUAGGCUGUUUCGUAAGUCGUGUGUGAAAGGCGCGGGCUCAACCCGCGGACGGCACACGAUACUGCGAGACUAGAGUGAGGGAGGGGGAACCGGAAUUCGCGGUGUAGCAGUGAAAUGCGUAGAUAUCGAGAGGAACACUCGUGGCGAAGGCGGGGUCCUGGACAUUAACUGACGCUGAGGCACGAAGGCCAGGGGAGCGAAAGGGAUUAGAUACCCCUGUAGUC